AGAAACCACUGGUCUAUUUUAUUCCCUUCAUUAUUCAAACGAAGAAAGUGAGGCCCAGAGGGGACGUGUCGGAGAAGAUCCUUGAAUUCGGCCAAAGGAAGUCUGAUUCUGACCCAAAUCAGUUCCCCUCUUCGGGUUUUAGUUUCCUCACCUAGACACAUAAGUACCUAAAGAUGACAACAAUAGCCCAUGUUUAUUGACCCCUAGGAUGUGAGGUCUUAAGUGUUAUGCAUUUUCCAUGGGCCAUCCCAUUUAAGAUUCAAUAACUUUAUGAGCUAUAAUAAUUCCCAUGAGAACACUAAGGCAAGGGAGGUUAAAUAAGUUGGCUGAGGUCCUUCAGUGGCAAAGGCAGAAUUUGAACCUUGGCAGUCCCUCUCCAGGGCCCGGGCACUCAGUCACCACUCGCAUGAGGACGGAAUCCAGAUGGGUCAGCUGGGAAGCGGGGGCUCAGCCCCACUGACCCCUGGGCCAGUGUUCAUGCCACUGGGUCAGGCUGUGUACUCAGCCAGGGCAGUGCGGGUCUUAGGUCGUCUGGAGGCUGCUGGGGUCCUCUGUACUCAGGGCUGUGACCAUGAUACUCGGCACACACUCUGGAGCAGGGAGCUUUGGGCCAGAGCGGGGCUUCCAGAAGGAGGCUUGGAAAGGCUGAGGAGAGCUUUUAGGUUUGUCAUGAGGGAAUCCAGGAAGUGUAAGGGUUCUUGAUCAGGGCCGUGACUGUACAAUAUUAUAGAGAAGCCUCUCCCUGCUCCCUCCCCGCCCCCAGGUGGCGUGCCCACUUAGGAAGUCCUCUAGUAGGCGGCUCAGUCCACAAAGCCAUGCAGUGACACCCCGUCCCUCACCCAGUGUGUCCCUUCCACCCUGGUUAUUCCAGCUUCUUCUCAGAGGCUUCACUGCUAGAACUAGAUGUUGGAUCUGGCUUCCUCCUCAGAAGACAAUUUAUGGCGACAUGUCGGAGACUCUGUUUUAAUGAAGUUGCAAAAGUAGGUUAAUGGGCUGUGGGUGUUUUUCAUUCCCUUCCCCCUGCCCCUUCUCCACCCCUGGGCAGAUGAAUGAUGCCUCUCCCAGCACGACUCAGAGUCGGGCUGAGGAUCUUGGGCCUGGACGUGUAUGCUCACAUAUCUCUUCCUUGGCCUCCACUGGAGCCCUCAGUACCCUCCUCCCUGCUGCUGGCAAGGUGCUCAGCACAUCUAGCCCCCAUCCCUCCUGCUGUAGCUACGGCCUGAAGAUGCUCCAAAGUCUGCCCAGCGGGAAAGAGCAUGGCAUAUUUGAGAGGCAGGAACCAGGGCAAGGGCUGGGGCAGGGCUUGGCACCCUGGGGAAGAAGGCAGCCAGAAUUAUGGCUAACGGAUUUCUUUUGGAUGAGAGAGGCCUGGAGAUGGGAGCUUAGCUAGCAUGGACCUGGGGAAUUCUGCAAGCUGAUGCUGAUAUUUUGGGGGAGGAGCUGAGUUUCUGAGGAUCUCCCCCAUUGUUGUUCCUCCUUCUCUAAUUCAUUUCUGUGUCUCCUAGGGCCAUGCCUGAUACAUGGCUGCCCUUGCAAAUAGUCGCCGAGUGAAUGAUGGACACAAGAGUGAGUGGGCCUUUUUUCCCUGUCCCCAGUCUCUGGGGCUGGAACUCAUCCCCAUUCUUGCUCCCUUCCCACCUGUCUUCCCAGUGCUUGCCCCACACUGCCACGUCUGAGGACAUUUUCCACAACUAAACUGCAAGAGUAAUUCUCCAUUUAUUUGUCUGGGUCCAACAUGAGGGUCUGUCAUCCUGGAAGAGUGGGGUCUCCAGGGGGAAGGGUCUAUCUCUUUUCCCUCCAGAUUCUCCCCUAAGUGAUCCCCACGUAGGGCUCUAAGAUUGGGGUUGGGGCCCAGAGCCUGGUUGUACUUGAAGGCACACAUCCAGGAGGACCAUCCUGCUGUCUAGGCCCCUCUCUCCAGUCCUUCCUCCCUAUAGAAAGCCGAGAGCACUCAUAGUCUCUGGCCUGUAGUCACUUCCAGGGGAGAAGGACCCUUCUCCACUCCCAGCCCCUUCCUGUCAACAAAUGAGGUUAUUGGUCAGGGUUUGGGAACGCCAGGAUGGGGUACAGCAGGCCUCACUUCCCUGCAACGUCAGACCAUCCCCCUUUUCUGGGAGCCUGGACCUCCUCCGUCCUCUCCACCCUUUGGCUUUCUUUUAUAGACUUAGCUCUCUUCUCUCCCUGGGCCUGGGAAGGAUCACAGGUUUGUGGCCCUUUGGACCAAUGUUGUAGACAUCCUGAGAAGCUCUACCAUGAUGCCCAGAAAAGCCCACCAUAAUCCCCAGGCCAGUUCUUUUUUUCUUUUUCUUUUUUUCCCAACCCAGAUAGGACAUUCUUCUCGAAGACUCCAAAGACCUCACUGGACCUUGCUCCAUACUCAGUUUUGCUGUGGCAGAGGGAAGGGCAGCUACCCCUCCUGUGCCCGCGAUGUCAUGCUGCUGUGUGGAACGGGCACCGGCUCUGGAAUCGGUCCCAGGUACUGACUACCUGCGUGCACCUCUGUGAACCUUAGGUUUCGUGUCUGCAGUGCGGUGACAGUCGUAUUUCCAUGGCAGGGUGUUGUCAGGAUGAGAGAUGAUUAGCAGGGAGACACUGAGUUCCAGCGGGUUCGAUGCGCAGAAACAGACGGAAGUGAGAUACCAGGGAAGUACUGCCUCCCGAAGGGCCAUGGGAAGAGACAGCCACACCGCUUUUUUGAUGGAGGUCUUUAAAAAUGGUCUAAACGAGGAAACCCCUGGCCGGUGGCAGAGGGCUGGACGCGUCCUCUUACACUCUUGGGCCCCAGCCCUGGGGACACUGGAAGAAGGUCUGUAGAGGAGGUCAGCCUUGACCUCCUCCACUGCUCUGGCCCCAGCCUGGCCCCUGUGCCCCCUGCCCUGUGUGGACUGCUCACCCUGCCUUGGGUGAGCGCAGAGGGGCGAGGAGAGCCUUCUUGGCUUGCGGCAUAUGGUGAGAAGAUGUCCUGGGGAAUCCUCGCUCCUGAUUUAAGCGGCUCCGACAGCUUUAUGGCGCCUCCUCGAGUGAGCCCCCAACGUUGGCCGUUUAACUUUUUAGCGUCGUUUAACGCUUAGGCUCCGGCGGACAGGCAGGCCCCUCGGCCCCAGAGGCAGCAGUACUAAAUCAGGACACUCUGAGGCCCCGAUAAAUAAUUUUUACAGGGCACGCAGCCCAUAGAUCACCAGUGGGGGUGGGGGGAGAGUGGCUGUGAUAUUUCAAACGAUUGUCAUAUAUGACUACCCCGUGCUCUGAUCCAGGUCGUCCACAUGGCAGCCGGCUUCAUAACCACAGUCAGCUCCAGGGCCCUCUGCAUGGGGCAUGGGAGGAACAGUGGAGACACAGUUCUCUGGUGGCCCCACAGCCAACAGAUGACCCAUUGCCUGCCCUUGUCUACUGACGUGGUGCCCCAAUCCAAGCUUCCUCUGGCACUGGGAUAAUGGGGUUGCUGAGAGCAGGGUGGGCAAGAGGAAGAGAAAGAACUUUGUGUAGGCAAAAGGUCACUUUCGGACCACCUUCCUGGUCCCCAGACAACUCCAAGCCUGAGUGCUCCAAGGGACCUGGUGCCGGGACUGCGGCCAGAGGGAGGACAGACCAGAGGGCUGGAGUGCACAGGACCUGCGGUCAGCUCCCUGCCAUUCGCACCUCUAGGGAAAGGGGCAGGGCGGCAGGGGGACAGAGGAGAGGGGAGUGUGGAAGGACAGAGACUGGAAUAGCGCAGGGAGAAGGGAGGGAGGAGGACAGAAGAACAAAGAUGGAAAGGCGAGAGAGAGAGAGAGAGAGAGAGAGAGAGAGAGAGAGAGAGAGAAGGGGAGAUGGACAGGGACUCACCCACAGGGGACACUGCAACAGAUGGGGUCUUUUCCUAAAGCCUGGUGCCAAGCUGGAGAGACAUGGUAUGGACAGACCCGGGGCCGCAGCAUCUGUGCCCUCUGAGGGCACCCUCCAAUUGGCUCCAGGCCCACGUUACUCUGCACCAGCUCCGCACUGCCCCCGCCCUUGCCCCUCCCUUCAGUGCCCUUGCCCCGUCCCCUCAUCUGUAAGAUCCUGGGAUUUGCGGGGACACUUAAUCCAUAUGGAGCUGAUUCAUUCCCAUCUAAAUCAUCUCCAUCAGCUUCCCUAAGAGCCCUCUGAUGUGCCAGCCGCCAUUCCUCUCCCCCGGCGGUGGCGGGCUGGGGGCUGCCAGUAAACAAACCUCAGCGGCCAUCCAUCAGUCCAGCGGAGACCAUUCGUCUCUCCAGCCCUGCUCCCCCUCCCCGCUCCUCCAGUCCCUCCAUCCGUUUGUCUGUCCCUCUUCUCAACAUCCCUCUCCUAGAACCUCCACGUCUCUGCCUCGUCCAGGGUAGGAUCUUGAGGGGUCAUGUCAGCUGCCCCCCCCCCCCAUCUUCACGAAGACAGGAAACUUACCCCACCCCUGGCUCAGCAACAUGGAGGUUCACCGCCUUCCAAGAAGAGAGGCCUCCAAGUCUGAUGAUACUGCUACACGGCAUGGACAACCCAUACGCAGGGACGUUCUUUCCUCUGUCUAGCUUGUCUGUCUGAGAUCCACGUAGGAUCAUGUGUCUGAGCAGGAGCGAAGGUAAGGUGAUGGGGGUUUUGUACGAGCACGGGAAUCUCCAGUAUCUGUAACAUGCUCCCCCGUGGGUUAGUGUGGUAUAUGAAACGCAAGACCAGCGAAAUGGCCCUCCUUUGCCCCAUCCACCCCAGCAGAGUCCACCCAAGCACACAGUGGGUGCCCCGUGCCGAUGGCUUGCUGGCCAUAAUCUUGUUUAUGAGCUCCAGUGAGUCUAAUGGCCUUCCGUGCAUCCCAGAGAGGUGUCCUGUGGAAUGACCCAGUGGGUCUGAUUGUGGCCCUCUAGCCUAGCAGAGUUUGCAGGGAACACUAAGGAAACAUCUCUCACUUCUGCCCUCCUACCCAAACUUCUUAGCCCAGUCCUGGGGGGCCAGCUUGUGUGAACGACUCUGUAUUGGCAAUAACGGGGCUGGUGAGGAGGAGGACGAGUGGCAGGUGGGAUGGAGCCUUCCAUAGCACCGAGGUGGAACCCUCGCAUUUGGGGGGAUGCCCUCAUGUUUACAUGCAUGAAUGAGAGAUCAGGAGGCGUUCCUUCCCAUGAUGGCCCUUCCCCUGUCAGGUUCUUCAGGUCAUUCUGGGAGUGAUGAUUCUGGGAAAGGGCCGGGGGCCCACUAGCCCCUCAGGAGAAGAUGGGGUCUGGUUCCUCUGGUCCCAUCUCAGUUUCUCCAUCCACAGCACCAGUGAGGGUUGGGGACAAGUCUACCUCUAGAGUAGGGAGUCUGGGUCAGACUCUAGUAAGCUUGCAGGGGGUGGGGGGUGAUUUGGGCAUGAGUGAAAGGGUUUAGGGAGGGAGAAGUCACAGGGGAGGGGAUGAGCCUCACUUAGAUUCCACAGUAAUGAGGAGCAGGAGAGGCAGAGGAGAGGAGGUGGGGAAGAAGAGUCUUCAGAUGCCCUAGGAGAACUGGUGGCCCACACUGCCAUUCCCUCUGAGAGACCCAGGACACUUGGUUGAGCGUCUAAUCACCCCCCUCCCUGGCCCAGAUCAGACCAGACCGAGUAGAGAAUCCCACUGCAUGAGCUCCCCUAGCCCAUGAUUUCCCAGCACCUCUUCCCCUUGUCACUGGUCCCCUCAGGGAGCCGCUGUGAGUGCACACAGAACAUGUGGGGCUCUUCCAGCUGCUAUCCAGCUGUGAGGACCCCUGAGCAUGCCCCUGCCACCUCCCAGUGGGAGAGAAGACUCUAAUUCUAGUCCGAAAGCUGAGAAGGGUAGCGGGGAAGAGGGGCCGGAGGAGGCCAUGGGGAAGCUAACCAUGUACCCCAGUUGUGUGGACAUAUGUGUGGGAGGGGAGGGGCUUGCAGGUGUCGAGGCCCAGCUUAAGAAGGAUGGAGUGUUUCCUAGUUCUCUGAGCUAGAGACAUAUGGGGUAUAUAACACCAAGAAAAUGAAAAUUAUUGCCUAAGAGAGAGAGAGAGGAUGUGGGGGAACAAGAAAAAAUCCAAGCCAGGGAGACCAAUGCCAUCCACCCCCGUCACCAUCAUGACCUGACUAUCUGUGCUUGACGACGACGUCAAAGUCUGAGGGGAGGGGGAGCUUGAGAACUGACCCUCAGGGCCUCCCGGAGGGGGGAAGCUAAUCCCCCAAAUGUGCAUUUCCCUGCUGUUACACAGAGCGGGGGAGCUGGGAACAGCGCUCAAAUUCUCCAGGUGGGACAGCUGCUGGGGCUUUUCCCCUUUCCUUCCCUCUGCCCUCCCUGUUCUCUGGGCUGUUGGGGGAACCAGCGAGCUCUUCUCCCACUGGCCUGUCUCCCUCGGGUCUCCCCAGGACUGGGCCCUCCUUGUCCUCUCAGUGGGUUCCACCCUGUCUUGUCUCCCCCAGAUCUCUUCGUGCAAAAAGCUUCCCAUAUUUUGUCGCUCCCCACACAAUCCCCUCCUUUGAAAAUAGUCCACUUACCCAAACUUGUGGCCAAAGGGGGUCCUUUAGGAUCCACUUGUAGGCUGGUGCCUUCAUCCAGCAGGGCCUGGAGUUUCGUUCGUCCGUCCAGCCUCCUUCACGCAACAUCCGUGUGCCCAAUGGGGGCCAUGACCUCUACGACGCAGGCAAGGAUUCUAGAAGCGUUUCUGUGCUCACAGGCACAGCUCCAGGAGCAGCCUGACUUUUAAUGGAGUUGGCAGCCCUUGUUCUGAUUCCAGGAGAGAGAAGUGUCUAGAAGGAUGCCAGUGGGCUUGGGUGUGACUGAUGCCAUUUCCUUAGGGGAGGCCACCUCCUGUGAGGUCACCCUGUGAUAGUGGUGACUGAGGCUGGAUAGCAGGAGGAACUUCUAAAGACUCAAAGUUGAAGGAAAGAUUUCCAGGUUUCAGUGAAGCUUUUGGGAAAGGAUGAUGUUAACCUUUUCAGGCUCUGUGGGAGCAGAGGGGUCUGUGUGUCUGGAAGGGUUUACUUCGACCCAGGUAGGACUGACCCCAAAGAGGGAUGGCCACUUCCUCUUUCCAGAACCCUGACUCAUCCACACUCAGGGCAAUCCCACUCACAAUUUCUUAGAUGAUUGUUUGUUCCUUGGCCAGAAAUCUGGUUCUUGAACUCCGUCUCCUAUUCUUUUCAUGAUCUGGGAACAAACCAUCUUUGGGAACCAAAUGCAGCUUCAACUUAUGGAGCCAAAAGAACAGAGAGGCAGAGUCAUUUCUAGACAGUGACACUGCAAACCUACAAGGAGCUAGGAAUGUCCCCUAUGGGAAUGCCAUCUUCUCUUUUUUGCAUGGGAAGGGAAAGGAUGUGACCCUGGGGGGAAAGGGCACGGUUGGUGAGAGCAGAGAGUGAUACCAGCUAAAGAACACCCCCCGCCCCCGACCUCCGCCCAGCCAGCCCGGAUCCAAACGUGCACAUGAUGGAAAUGUCUUCACAGCCAACGGCCCCUCCUUCCCAAGGAGAAAAUCCCACAAGUGGGGAACAUCUGGAUCAAACCACAGCCAUGAAAGCACAACAUCAAACGAGGGUUUCCCAGCGACCCUCCCCACAGGCCCUGCUCCAAGAGAAAUUGCAGAUCUUCCUGCUUGAAGCUUUUAAGUGUCACAGAACCCCCUCAAGUUUGGGAUCACUCCUUAUUCACUGGAGACAGAUGUCCCUGAGUGAGCACGGUUGGGUUUGAUUACCCCCAGCGGGAGAGGGUGUGUGUGACCUGAUCCUGGCCAUGUUGGGGGGUAGCCCGGGAUUUAAAGCCGUGAUGAGGGGCUCCAGCAGUUCAGGCUGGGGGCCGGGGAGAGACAGGGGACAGGUGGGCCUUUUAAAACGUGCCUACAUCAAAGGUUUGAGUAGGCUCCCUUCCCAGCGUCGGCGCCUGCGGGGCAAGAAAAGUGCUGAUUUCACCACAUAACUGCACGUAGGAUGGAUCUCAGUCUGAGAACUUCUGGGGAAUGUGGAGAGGGGAGGGAGGGUGCUCCCGAGAGGGGAGGAGAGGCCAAAGGGGGUUUCUCAUUUCCAAAAUAGCCUGCCUAGGCCAAGGGAAAUGGGACCAGAGUCUGCCUCCUUCCUACUCAGCCCCUGCAGAGGGAGAUCGGGAGGGAGGGGUGCGUUCUUCCAAGAGGGAGAUCAGGAGGGAGGGGUGCGUUCUUCCAAGGUGGGGAGGCUGGAGCAGCCGCAGCAGUGGGAGGUGGGCCCGGGAUCACAGAUGGAGGUCCAGGCGCAAGCAGGGCCAUCUUCCCCAAAGGUGUGAAGGAGGAAGGACCGCAGACCAUGUAAUUCUAGGAGACAGUAGGCUCUUCCCUCUCUACCGCCCAGGGUCCUUCCAGACCCAGGAAUCAGAGGGCACCCGGCCAUCAUGUUGGCAGCGUGGGAUGGACUGCGGGGCAGACGGGUUGCGGGGGAGCACCCCAGGGCCGGAAUCCCAGUUCAGAUUUGAGUAAUCUGCCCAGAGGAUGUGUGAGAGAGUGUGCUGGCACGUGGGCACCCCACUGUGAUCUUGGUUUAAGAAGCCAAUGGUUUAUUCUUAUGGCGGAAGGUGACCUUCAGUUGGGAGGGGUAAGGAGAAGAAGGGGUACCAUUUGCUUCGUUAUAUUAGCCACCCCCCCCCCAAUUUCAGGAUGCCUUCCCCUCCCCUUUCCUCUCGGAGGGUUAGAAGUGUGUGUGGUGAUCUGAUGAUGCCAGGUGUACCCAUAGUGUUGGUCCCACACUGCUUUAUAAAGGUCUAUUUACAGUUUCCUUUCCCGUCUGGGCUGAGAGCACCUUGAAGGCACAAACCCCCUUACUCUUCCUGUGUUCCUAGCGCCUGGCACAGUGCGUGUUCCUAGCACCUGGUGCAGUGCCUGGCAGAGAGCGGGUGCUCAGUGAUGUUCCCUGUUUUCCCACGGCCAUUGUUGGGAAAACAAAGGACACCCACAUGAUGAUUCUUCAGCAUCCUGGAAGCCUCUGAGGGGAUCCUAGCUCCUGGCCUACCUCCUUGGGGAGGAUUCUCGCUGACAGCUCUUUCUCCCACCCCUGAAAUUUAUUAUCCAUAAAGUUCACCUUCAUGGUCAGGUUUAUUUUAUUCUUAUUUUUUAAAGUUUAUUUAUUUAUUUAGUUUUGAGAGAGAGAGAGACAGACAGACAGACAGACGCAGAGAGAGACGGAGAAUCCCAA
This is a long non-coding RNA of Leopardus geoffroyi (Geoffroy's cat), 9115 nucleotides long. RefSeq lists it as uncharacterized. Lineage: Eukaryota; Metazoa; Chordata; Mammalia; Carnivora; Felidae. The record is from RefSeq and is a predicted model, not a curated record. The transcript has 3 exons.